This 662-nucleotide unclassified non-coding RNA is filed under the name Hevea brasiliensis (rubber tree). The record is from RNAcentral. Lineage: Eukaryota; Viridiplantae; Streptophyta; Magnoliopsida; Malpighiales; Euphorbiaceae.
GUGCAUCAACAACCAUUACAAGCAGAUCACUACGCUCAACAACUCUCCAAAGCUGUCUCCAGAUAUCCAGGUUUUUUUCAAAAGGGGUGAGAACCAGUUUCUCGUUCUCUUCAAGCCUUGCAAGAUUGCGUCGCCAAGCUAGAAAAGCUUGUCUUUCAUUAAUAUCAAGCUCUUCCACGGACAUUUUAGCAUUCCAUGGGGGCCUGCGUGGAACGCGAAGACUACUAGCAUGCAAAGCCUCCUCUUUCUUCUGCUGCUUCAAUCUUUCUUCAGGUCGCAUAUCACCAGAACUAGAGCCAGAGUCCAGAUUGACGAGAAGAUUAACAGGAGGAUUAAGGUCAGAAUAGAGACGGUGAGCUUCAUCUGUCUGUUCUAUUACAGCUUCUAAAUCAGUAACUUCAGUUACAGAUUCCAGAACCUUCUUAUUAUGAUUCCUAUAAACUCGACCCUUAUCUUUCGAUUGCUGAAUCAUCUGAUUAUGGUGCUUCACCAGUGCCCUACCUAACGAACUUUUCUCCCCUUUACCCAUUACUCCUUUUCUCUUCAAAUUCAAUUAGCUUAACAAAAAAAAAGUGAAAACCCAGUUACAGAAACUAUUUGAGUAUUCAAAGAUUGUGACUUUUCGGUCACCGGAGUCGGUGGUAGAUGACGGCGGUGAAGGU